GACAGAGGGUGCUAGCGUUGUUCGGAAUGACUGGGCGUAAAGGGCGCGUAGGCUGUUAACCAAGUCAGAUGUGAAAGCCCCGGGCUUAACCUGGGAACUGCAUUUGAUACUGGUUGACUAGAGUGCGAGAGAGGAAAGUGGAAUUCCUAGUGUAGAGGUGAAAUUCGUAGAUAUUAGGAGGAACACCAGAGGCGAAGGCGGCUUUCUGGCUCGCAACUGACGCUGAGGCGCGAAAGCGUGGGGAGCAAACAGG
This 253-nucleotide ribosomal RNA is filed under the name uncultured bacterium. RNAcentral's name for it is "partial 16S ribosomal RNA". It matches the Rfam family "Bacterial small subunit ribosomal RNA", at positions 524 to 776 of the family's 1533-position model. The record is from RNAcentral.